AUGCGCUGUAAUCACAGAUAUUCCCGUCAGAAUGCGGAGACUCCAGGGGCAUUUCAGGGACUUGACACAGCAGUUGAAGGGGCUGAUAAAGGAAACCAGGCCAGUCUGUUUCUGCCCGCCUGUCAUCGCCUGCCGAACCGUGAGAGAGAAGGCGACAGAAUCGGGGGGGGGGGGGGUGUAAGCUAGGUGCUUACACAUUAUCACUUUUCUGGAUACUUCAGUGGAGAGUAAUGGAAAUAAUCUCUGCAGCAGACCAAAUAUUAAAGAUCUCCUGCUCAGUGCUCUGAGCAUUUCCAAUGAAAGCUGUGGCCAGUGGAGUGGGUGGGACUCCUCAUGACAUACAGUGCAGUUUACAGUAUGAUCCCAGUGUCCAAGAAUGCAUGACAACACGCAGGACACCACCUACUUUUAAUGAUUCGCAGAUAAAAGUCUCUGUAUAACAGCCACUGCUCUGUAAAUAUACGAAAUGUAUUAUAUUCUUUCCCCCUUGUUGCUCUUAAAUUCAGUGUUGAGUGUGAUGUAAUUUGGCCCUGCAGCGCGUGUCACACAUUAGCGUAGGCAGCCUCUCUCCAGUCACACCACCGUAUUUCUAAAUCCAAUUUGGUUCAAUUCAAUUUCAUGUCUGAGCAGCCCGGCAAUCAACAACAACUCCAGCGAGUAUGUAAAGUGAAUUUAAAGCCCAGCAUGAGACCUGUCAGAACACACAACUAUCAACUAUCACGACAACACACAUCACACAGAUGGAUGGGAAACUAUGACACACAGAGAAAGAUCACUUGAAGAAACAUAGCCAUCAUCUGAACUGCACUGCUGCAGAUCUGAUGUAGAGUUAUAGCUCAAACUAACUGUCACUGUGGCAGCUUGAAGACGUGACAUGUUCCCUCUUCCACAGUCAGAGACGGUCCAUGCACAGACCUCAGACCCGAACACAACGCUAUCAACUAUCUAUUAAUCUGCUGCGUCAGUAUGUUCAAUCUGAAACAGAGCAGAAUGUGCUGGAAACAGCAGGACACUGUAUCUGCUUUUUUGGGAUAUGGAUUGAUUAGAUAUGAGAGGGACAGUAAUCUGCAGAGUAACGGCCCACGAUCAAGCAUGACACCAUUGAUGUUAAAAACAUUUACGACUGUGCCUUGUACGGAAUGAGGACGCCUAUAAAAGAGACAACGAGCGCCACCUGUAGUGUGUGUUUUGUUUGUUUGUGAUUUUUGCUCUUACAUGCACAUUUAUCACGGAGGUCAUACAGAGAAGCAUCAACGAUGAUAUGAGCGCUGUAAAACUAGCUGCUGCUCUUCAGGACGACAUAAUUAGCUUCUGAAAAAUCCGAUUAAAAUCAUUAAGAUUAAAUAAAAGUCACUGUGUAGCAUCGUUUAUCACAGGAUACUGUUUCACACAAAUGCUCUGAGUGAGGACUGUGACUGCGAUGACCCGAACAGUUGUCGGACGUGUCCCCUUGAGUGACCUCUGAAGGACAGUUUAAAGGUCACUGUCUGCUGGUGAAACUGAAACUGAAAUCAGCACACUUUAGCUGAAUAUUUCAAGCUCAACGUGAAAGCGCCUCACAAGGACGACGCAGACUCGACAAGGCACCGAUAUUUAUCUACAAGCAUCUGCUGUUUGAAGACAUCACAAAACAACCCACACUGAAGACUCUCAUUCCUGAAACCUCACAGGGUCUCAACGGCAGCGGCAGAUUUCGCGUGACAAGAGUCUCUCGCUGAUUGAAUCUUCCGAUAUCAACAACGCUGCUUUGUAAACAACAAUCAGCUGAUGGGUAAUGCUUUUAAUCUGAUAACACACACACACACACACACACCCUAACAACUGCACUGGGUUGAGAAGAAGCCCGGCUCUUGAACUGUGGGAAAUUACAUCAGAAAACAGUCAAUCACCGGGAAGCAAGACAAUAAGAACAGGACAAUAACAUGCAUCUAAAGCGGGACAGUGAAUAUCUCACAGGGACAGAGGAGCUUCUCCUUUUCCUUUAAACACUGAUCUUCUCUUUGGAAACUCUUUAAAAGACUGUGCAACAAGGAGCGUGGGAUGAAAGUCAAAAAAAAAAGAAGAGGAAAACGACGUGAAAGUAAAGUCAAACCCC
Molecule: long non-coding RNA, 2095 nt
Organism: Seriola aureovittata
Lineage: Eukaryota; Metazoa; Chordata; Actinopteri; Carangiformes; Carangidae
Exons: 3
Source: RefSeq, a predicted model, not a curated record